This 253-nucleotide ribosomal RNA is filed under the name uncultured bacterium. Its description in RNAcentral is "partial 16S ribosomal RNA". It matches the Rfam family "Bacterial small subunit ribosomal RNA", at positions 524 to 776 of the family's 1533-position model. The record is from RNAcentral.
UACGUAGGGACCGAGCGUUGUCCGGAUUCAUUGGGCGUAAAGAGCUCGUAGGCGGCUGUUCAAGUCGAACGUGAAAACUCGGAGCUCAACUCCGAGCCUGCGUUCGAUACUGGACGGCUAGAGUCUGGUAGGGGGAUCUGGAAUUCCUGGUGUAGCGGUGAAAUGCGUAGAUAUCAGGAGGAACACCGGUGGUGUAGACGGCUUUCUGGACCGUAACUGACGCUGAGACACGAAAGCGUGGGUAGCAAACAGG